This is a long non-coding RNA of Ictidomys tridecemlineatus (thirteen-lined ground squirrel), 4349 nucleotides long. Lineage: Eukaryota; Metazoa; Chordata; Mammalia; Rodentia; Sciuridae. The record is from Ensembl.
CUCCGCUGCUCCCUUCCCCGCUGAGCCCGGCUGGUCGCUCGGCUCUCGGUUCCCGCGGGCUUUCCUGGCGACGGCCUCCCCCCUUCUGGCCUGGGGUCUUGCUCCUCUCCCUCUUCUUUUCUCCACGUCUCUCCUCUCCCUCUUCGUUUCCUUACGCCUCUCCCCCUCCUGCUUUCCGCCUGUUCCGGGAGCCGAGCCCGGUCGCCUGGCUGCGCCGUGCAGCCGAGCGAGGCCCCCAGGUCCCUGUGGAACUGCGCUCCCCUGCCUCCAACUCCCUCCAUCAUCCGACCUGCUCUUUUCUUCACUGCUCAUUUCUUUCUUCCCUGAAAUAGGAGGCAGCUAGUCCCUUCUCCAUUCUCCUUGUUUUCAGUCUGUACUGUUUCUCCCUUUCGCCACCCCACCCCACUCCUUGGUUUCCCCCUUGUCCCCGCCCUCCCACCUUCUCCCUAAACUCAGCCCGAUGGAACAGUGAGAGGGCGAAGAUAAAAAUGGGAAAUGUCAGUAUCAACAUUGUUAUUGUUUUUGGUUGCUGAAACGGAAGAUGAACUGGAAUGCCCAAAUCAACUCAGACCCAGGACCAAGAUUGAGUUCUUAAAAUUGCAAACUCCAGUAUGCUCAUGGCUGAAGUCUGCAAUCAGUGUUUUCUACCAACUCAGUGGACCAGCUUCUUGCCGCUCACCAGCCUCCACUACCAACAUGGGCUCCCAGCUCCUUCUUUUCUCCAAACUUAGAAGUGUUCAUUUUUGCUCCCUGUUUUUUCCAAGUCUCAUCCUUUGCUCUCUGCUGGGUAGAUCAGUUCAUAGCACCCUGGUAAAGCAGUGUUGUGAAGCUGAAAGGGAUCUGGGACAACAGCCAGGUCCCCCAGAAGCAGCAAGCUUUGUAGGGAAUGUGCUCUAGAAAUCACCAUUUCUGAAACUCGGCUGCUGCUGCACAUCUUGGAAGAGGAAUAUGUAGCCAAGCUCAAAGCAAAGGUAUUUGGAGAAUUGAAAUCUUGCAUGCCAGGAGACCUUGAUCCCAUAACCUCAGAAGCAGAUCUGGAUCCAGUCAAAUUGAGGUCAAACUCUGAUCAACUUCUCCACAGUCAGUAGAAGAAAAAAGCAACUUGAUGUCUUGAGUCAUAUGUUUGGACACUAAAGAUGACAUUCAAGGGGAUACUUAAAUUCUAGGCAUAGUAAAUAUAUAGUAGAUAUAUAUAUAUAUAUAUUGACUUGUUGCUUAAGUCAGUGCUUCUCAAGCUUUUUUUUAGAUGCACACCAACCCCAGAGGGUGAAGAUGGGGACAUCUGAGUGUCUGCAUUUUUUUGGUACUAGGAUUUGAACCCAGGAGUGCUUAACCACUGAGCAAUAUCCCCAGCCUUUUUUAGUUUUUAUUCUGAGACAGGGUCUUGCUAAAUUGCUUAGGGCCUCACUAAGUUGCUAAGGCCAGUCUCGAACUUGCAACUCUACUGCCUCAGCCUCCCAAGUAGCUGGGAUUACAUGCCUUUAUCACCAUGCCCAGCAGGUGUCUGUGUUUCUUAACUUGCUCCAUGCGGAUGCCUAUGGUUCACAGGUCAUAUGUUAAGUAGCAAGACCUUAGAAGAUAGGAUGCAGAUGACCCUCAACUGAUGCUAAAAGAAAUCUGAAAUAAAUUGGGGCUCAGUUGCAGAACACUUGCCUAGCAGGCACAAGGCCCUGGGUUUGAGACCCAGCACAGAUGGAAGGAAAAGAAGAGAAGGAAAGGACCCAUCCAAAAAUGUGAACAUGUUCAACUUAUAACGUGACACUUGGGCUCCUUCCCUAAAGCCCUUUCUGCUAGCUGCCCAAGGAAUCACCUUUGUUGUCAUGUAUCAUUCCCUUCCCUUCUGGAAUAGUUCAUCUUCUUAGAAUAUAAGAAGGAUACACCAACCCUUGGCAGUUCAUGAAAUUUAAGAUCUGACCCGCCAGGGAUGGAUGGGAGGCAGGACAAAUCAGGAGAUCUCAGUAGCACAAGCUUUGGGACCUCCUCAGGAUGUACCACAACACACCAGAAUUCUCUGUGUCUCUACAAGUUUCAAGUUUCGGUCAGGUGUUUUAUCUUCAAGCUCUAACAUAAAUGAAUUAAAUUUGUGUCAUACCUUUUUUACCCCUUGUAUGGCAUUCCUUGAUGUUAAUUUUUUUUUGAGGUGGGGGACUGGGGAUUGAACCCAGAUGCACUUUACUACUGAGCUAUAUCCUCACCCAUUUUUAUUUUUUUGAGAUUGGGUCUCCCUAAAUUGCCCAGGCUGGCCUCCAACUUGCAAUCCUCUUGCUUUAGCCUCGCAAGUCUCUGGAAUUACAGGUGAGCACCAGUGUGUUUGGCUCUUAAUAUUAAUUUUAACUUGCUUUUAUAUAUGUAUAAGUGUGUGUGUGUGUAUGUGUGCGUGUGUGUAUGUAUGAGCACACCUAGGGGAAAAGAAGAUGGAAAUGAAAUGGCAUAAUGUGACUUCCCCAAAAUAGAUUAUUAAAAAGUCCUUGGUAUAACACUCUUAGGACAUUUAAAAUACUCUACAUUAUAUAUGUUGGCCAACAUGUGUUUGGGAUUUAUAACUAAAAUGUUCUCUGUGAGCAGGAUUGAUCUUUAUAUCUUCACAAAAUAUGCUUGGCUUUUAUUUGAUUUUAAAAAAUACUAAUUGCUAUAUUUCAAAGGGAUGUUUUUAGACAAGAGUUUCUCCCUAAUCAUAGGGAUAUGUGUCUGGAAAUAUCCUCAAUAGAAGAAUUCAGGAUUGGGGCAAUGAAAUGAUGAGUAAGAAUCUGGGUUUCGUUCUUUUACUUACUAAAUGUUAGUCAACUAAUUUUUCUAAAGCUCAAUCAUGUCUUUGGCAUCAGAGAAAGUGUCAAGUUUCUUAUAAAUUUGUUUUGAUGGUUAAAUAAAAUUCACAUAAAAUGCUUUUGAACUGCUUUGAAAAGUUAACUGUUUGUGUUAUAACUAUUCUUAUGGAAUUUGAGACUUUCUGAGAACAAUAGGGGGGAGUUUGAAGGCAAGAAAUAAAUAUGAAAGCACUUAAAUUCACUAAAAUAUAAUGAUAAAGACAAAAACCAAUAAAAAUAUAUCAACAAUGUCUUAUAUUUCUUAAAUUAGUAAUAAUGAGUACAGUUCUGACACCUCCAUUUAUCAUUUUUUUGUACACAUAUUUUGUACACCUUCAGGAUUUUCACUUCUUUAGAGUUUCAACAGAAUGUUUUAAAUUUUGUUUGGCUUUGUGCCAGCUAAUCUGCAUGCUAGAAGAUGUUUGAUUCCUGAGUCUGACUCUCUCCAAGUGUCCAAAGCUUUGUUGUUUGAUUUUAAGAGACUGAAGCUUUUCUUCUCCUAGACACUGCCCUUGGGUUCUAUUUCUUUCACAGAGAGGGAGAUGACUUGGAGGGUUAGAGUAGAAAAGGCUUUGGGUAACAGUAUUGACCCCACAGGGCUCCACUGGACCCCUUUACUGCCCAGGAGCAUCCAACCCUAGCCCUGGCAGUUGCUGUCCUGCUUGUACACCAUGAGCACAGAACUACUGGGCAUGUGUGUGCUGUGUUUUUUUUUAAUAUAUUAUCUAUGCCAGAGUGAUUUUUUAUUGUUGUUGUUAUUUACCUUUAUAGUGCUGCUCAUUGAACCCAGGGCCUUGCACAUGCUAGACAAAUGCUCUACCACUGAGCUACACAUCAGCCUCCAUUCUUUUUAGAAACAACUUAGCUUUCCACCUGCCCAUCAAUUUUCUGCCUUGCAUAUGCCACUGCCAAUAAAGAAGUCCUGGCUGCACUGCCUUCCCUGGCCAUCAGGUCUCUGGGGCCUUUGGAAGAUCAAUCCUGGGCCCCCCACUCUGUGAUGAAUACUCACUCCCUGUCCCACACAAACUACUUGACCAAACUGGUGGCCCAAGCUUGCUGGGCUAGUAAGGAGCCAGAUGGCAGCUUCAAGCCUGAACUUAAACACAUGUUAUACAUAUAAUAUACAAACACAUAUUAUAUCCAAACAUAUAAGUAUACUUUAAAUAUUAUGUAUUAGGGGCUGGGAUUGUGGCUCAGUGCAUGAGGCACAGGUUCAAUCCUCAGCACCACAUAAAAAUAAAUAAAUAAAAAUAAAAGUAUUGUGUGUCCAUCUACAACUAAAAAAAAAUUUAAGAUAUUAUGUAUUAAAUGUAUGUAUAGUCUAAAAAUGGUAUUUCCGGGCUGUGGAUGUGGCUCAAGCAAUAGCGCGCUCGCCUGGCAUGUGUGCGGCCUGGGUUCGAUCCUCAGCACCACAUAUCAACAAAGAUGUUGUGUCCGCCGAGAACUAAAAAAAAAUAAAUAUUAAAAAAUUCUCUCUCUCUCUCUCUCUCUCUCUCUCUCUCUCUCCCCCCCCUCCCUCCCUCUCCCUCUCCCACUCUCUCUUUA